This 468-nucleotide ribosomal RNA is filed under the name uncultured bacterium. Its description in RNAcentral is "partial 16S ribosomal RNA". It matches the Rfam family "Bacterial small subunit ribosomal RNA", at positions 28 to 507 of the family's 1533-position model. The record is from RNAcentral.
GAUGAACGCUGGCGGCGUGCUUAACACAUGCAAGUCGAACGGAAAGGCCCUGAGUUUGUGGGGUGCUCGAGUGGCGAACGGGUGAGUAACACGUGAGUAACCUGCCCUUGUCUUUGGGAUAACUUCAGGAAACUGGGGCUAAUACCGGAUAGGAGCUCCUGCUGCAUGGUGGGGGUUGGAAAGUUUCGGCGGUUGGGGAUGGACUCGCGGCUUAUCAGCUUGUUGGUGGGGUAGUGGCUUACCAAGGCUUUGACGGGUAGCCGGCCUGAGAGGGUGACCGGCCACCAUGGGACUGCGGGACGGCCCAGACGCCUACGGGAGGCAACAGUGGGGAAUAUUGCACAAUGGGCGGAAGCCUGAUGCAGCAACGCCGCGUGCGGGAUGACGGCCUUCUGGUUGUAAACCGCUUUCGCCUGUGACGAAGCGUGAGUGACGGUAAUGGAUAAAGAAGCACCGGCUAACUACGUG